GUUCGGAUUGUAGUCUGCAACUCGACUACAUGAAGCUGGAAUCGCUAGUAAUCGCAGAUCAGAAUGCUGCGGUGAAUACGUUCCCGGGUCUUGUACACACCGCCCGUCACACCAUGGGAGUUGGAAAUGCCCGAAGCCGGUGACCAAACCAAUAAGGAAGGAGCCGUCGAAGGCAGGUCUGAUAACUGGGGUGAAGUCGUAACAAGGUAAC
Molecule: ribosomal RNA, 211 nt
Filed under: uncultured bacterium
Lineage: Bacteria
Description: partial 16S ribosomal RNA
Rfam family: Bacterial small subunit ribosomal RNA
Source: RNAcentral